This 484-nucleotide ribosomal RNA is filed under the name uncultured bacterium. Its description in RNAcentral is "partial 16S ribosomal RNA". It matches the Rfam family "Bacterial small subunit ribosomal RNA", at positions 28 to 523 of the family's 1533-position model. The record is from RNAcentral.
GACGAACGCUGGCGGCGUGCUUAACACAUGCAAGUCGAACGAUGAAGCUGGAGCUUGCUCUGGCGGAUUAGUGGCGAACGGGUGAGUAACACGUGAGAAAUCUGCCCUUGACUCUGGGAUAACUGCGGGAAACUGUAGCUAAUACCGGAUACUUUCCCUGGUGGGCAUCCACUGGGGAAGAAAGAAUUUCGGUCAAGGAUGAUCUCGCGGCCUAUCAGCUUGUUGGUGAGGUAAUGGCUCACCAAGGCGACGACGGGUAGCCGGCCUGAGAGGGUGACCGGCCACACUGGGACUGAGACACAGCCCAGACUCCUACGGGAGGCAGCAGUGGGGAAUAUUGCACAAUGGGCGCAAGCCUGAUGCAGCAACGCCGCGUGAGGGAUGAAGGCCUUCGGGUUGUAAACCCCUUUUAGCAGGGAAGAAGCGAAAGUGACGGUACCUGCAGAAAAAGCACCGGCUAACUACGUGCCAGCCGCCGCGGUAA